AGGGAGUUUGAUCCUGGCUCAGAGUGAACGUUGGCGGCGUGGAUUAGGCAUGCAAGUCGAGCGAUCGUAGCAAUACGGGAGCGGCAAACGGGGUAGGAAUACAUCGGAACGUACCUUUUGGUUGAGAAUAGCGUUGGGAAACUGACGGUAAUACUCAAUAAAGUCGAGAGACCAAAGGUUUACUGCCGGAAGAGCGGCCGAUGCGAUAUUAGGUAGUUGGUGGGGUAAUGGCCUACCAAGCCUGAGAUGUCUAGGGGGUGUGAGAGCAUGGCCCCCACCACUGGGACUGAGAUACUGCCCAGACACCUACGGGUGGCUGCAGUCGAGGAUCUUCGUCAAUGGGCGAAAGCCUGAACGAGCGACGCCGCGUGCGGGAUGAAGGCCCUUGGGUUGUAAACCGCUGUCAGGGGGGAUGAAACCGUAAGGUUGACAGAGCCCCAGAGGAAGCACGGGCUAAGUUCGUG
RNAcentral lists this ribosomal RNA (464 nucleotides) under uncultured bacterium. RNAcentral's name for it is "bacterial SSU rRNA". It matches the Rfam family "Bacterial small subunit ribosomal RNA", at positions 1 to 507 of the family's 1533-position model. The record is from RNAcentral.